This is a long non-coding RNA of Pieris rapae (cabbage white), 579 nucleotides long. RefSeq lists it as uncharacterized. The transcript has 3 exons. NCBI's taxonomy places the organism in Eukaryota, Metazoa, Arthropoda, Insecta, Lepidoptera, Pieridae. The record is from RefSeq and is a predicted model, not a curated record.
ACUGUCAGAAGUCGCAGUUAAUUGCAUUAAUACUGACGUAUUGGACAGUGAUAACACUAAUAACCUGUUUUGCUAAUAAUUAAUUUUAUUAAAAAAAUCAUGAAGACAUCUAUUUUGUUAAUUUUCAUUUGUUUUGUUGCAAGUGCAUAUUCUUUGCCGACCAUAGAAACCGAUGACCUCCAGAAUUAUCAAGAUCCGCAAGACCAUUCAUUUGAUUAUGAAAAUGGUGUGCAAGAAAUGUUGGCUAUGAACAUUGUACCAUGCUCGACAGGAAGGACUAGGGCUCCUUGGGGAAAAUGCAUACCAUGUGGAAGAUACUAUAACUUAUUCCACAAAAAAGGAAAGGGCUGUCCACUGUCCUAACUACAAAAAUCUGUCAUUUCUAAACAGGUCGACCACAACGAAUAAACGAAUAAAUUUAAUCAAAAAAAUAACGCGUGAAUAAAAGAGAAGAGAUUUUUGCUAACCCCUUUUUGUCGUAUCCGAUUAUGUAUCUAAACCACUUAUGAACUCUUAUAAUCAAAGCUAUAAGUUCACAAUAAAAUGUACCAAUUAAAAACUUUUUUAAAUACGCUGUUA